UUUAGUUGCCAUAUGAAUUUG
RNAcentral lists this non-coding RNA (21 nucleotides) under Caenorhabditis elegans. Lineage: Eukaryota; Metazoa; Nematoda; Chromadorea; Rhabditida; Rhabditidae. The record is from RNAcentral.